ACAUUGUUGAAGAGUCUCACACUAGGACGAAAUGAUCAUCUAAUAU
Molecule: non-coding RNA, 46 nt
Organism: Schistosoma mattheei
Lineage: Eukaryota; Metazoa; Platyhelminthes; Trematoda; Strigeidida; Schistosomatidae
Source: Rfam